GACGAACGCUGGCGGCGUGCUUAACACAUGCAAGUCGAACGGAAAGGCCCUGCUUUUGUGGGGUGCUCGAGUGGCGAACGGGGGAGUAACACGUGAGUAACCUGCCCUUGACUUUGGGAUAACUUCAGGAAACUGGGGCGAAUACCGGAUAUGAUCUCCUGCUGCAUGGUGGGGGUUGGAAAGUUUCGGCGGUUGGGGAUGGACUCGCGGCUUAUCAGCUUGAUGGUGGGGUAGUGGCUUACCCAGGCUUUGACGGGUAGCCGGCCUGAGAGGGUGAGCGGCCACAUUGGGACUGAGAUACGGCCCAGACUCCUACGGGAGGGAGCAGUGGGGAAUAUUGCACAAUGGGCGGAAGCCUGAUGAAGAAGCGCCGCGUGCGGGAUGACGGCCUUAGGGUUGUAAACCGCUUUCGCAUGUGACGAAGCGUGAGUGAAGGUAAUGGGUAAAGAAGCACCGGCUAAAUACGUGC
Molecule: ribosomal RNA, 469 nt
Filed under: uncultured bacterium
Lineage: Bacteria
Description: partial 16S ribosomal RNA
Rfam family: Bacterial small subunit ribosomal RNA
Source: RNAcentral